ACAAAAGUGGGAGAAUUUCAUUGUUAGGUCCACCAUGCGACAGAAGAUGAACAGUCUUCAAAGGAUGUUUGAAGCUCUACUACUCAGCACUCAGUGGUGCACUGGAACCAGCCUGCAGUAGCUCAUGAGAGCCAAUGAUAUGGAACAAAAGACAUAGAAAAGCAAAGCAACCAAAGACUAUUGAUAGACUGUGUAUUUAUAUCCAUGGUUUCCUGCAUUCUGUGGACCCUCUGAUAAUUCUGAGGGGAAAAUAAUUGCUGCAUUGACAAAAUGUGUGAUGUGGGUGGAAAGAGAGGUGCAGCGUGCUUCCAAGGACGGCCCAUCUUAAUAGAAUUGUGGGAGAGAACAAGUGUCUCAUGUGGACUUCAGACAAUCUUUGGAAUCUUCUUUGUCAACAGAUUCAACCCACCAUGGUGCAAGUUGCCAUGUUUUCUGGGAGGGAGCGAAGCUAAUGCCUGGCUUCCACAUGAGAAGCCUAGUACCAGGGUCAUACAUGGUGCCUCUGGAAAGAAAAUGCUAUUUGCAACUAUAACCCACUCGCACCAAUUGUGA
RNAcentral lists this long non-coding RNA (552 nucleotides) under Callithrix jacchus (white-tufted-ear marmoset). Its description in RNAcentral is "lncRNA (ENSCJAG00000080764.1)". Lineage: Eukaryota; Metazoa; Chordata; Mammalia; Primates; Cebidae. The record is from RNAcentral.